RNAcentral lists this long non-coding RNA (428 nucleotides) under Homo sapiens (human). Its description in RNAcentral is "non-protein coding lnc-MMRN2-2:3". The record is from RNAcentral. Lineage: Eukaryota; Metazoa; Chordata; Mammalia; Primates; Hominidae.
AGUUGCCGGGGAGGAGGGCCAGCCGCCGGCAAGGGGGCGCCGAGCUGCUGGUGCGGGCGGGAGUCGGGGCUGCUCCUCCGCGCGGGCCCGCCGGCCCCUCCCCACAAGCCAGCCCCACAGCUGCCGCCCGGGUAGCUUCCCGCAGACGCCGUAGGUAGCACGCGAUGGAACGCGGCGGAGGGGAGCGUGGACACGGCUGCCGGGCGCUGCGGCCAUCGGCGCCCUGGACGCCCGCUCCGGCCUUCGGGGCCGGAUAUCCCCACUCUCGCGGGCUCUUUCGCGUGGACCCCUCCUCCGGCCGACACUCACACUGCGGUGAACGCCAGUCAGCUGGCGUGAAAUAAGGUCGCUGGGAAGGCACCAAGUCACCAAGGCCACCAAGCCUAUUUGAGAUGGAGGGUACUGGGGGAGACGUCAUAAGUGAGCAG